UUGUCCUCCCUCCUCCUCCCGCUCCGCUCCUUCUGCCGUCGGGCGCCGCCGCGCGCCGCAAACCCGCGCUGCCGCAAAAGGCGGCUGUCGUAACACCCUGUGCCCGCCCCCUUUAACGCGGCGGCUUUAAAUGGCCCCGGGGGCGUGAGGGGAAAACACACGGCAACCUCGUGGGAACUGCCAGCAGCGUUACAGACAUGGCAUCCGCACAGCCCUGUUUCAGAAGUCUCUUCCUUCAGAAGUCUGGGCUGAAGUUGUGCAGCCAUAUCAUCCAAGCUGGGCUUGCUCCUUGGCAUGAGGGCAGCUGAGCCCCUCAGGGAGGGAGCUUUCAUGGAAGAAUCAGUAUGGCCUUUUCAUCAAAACAACCAGCACAUGAAUCCUGGCACCACAAAGAUCUGCCAGUUAUUAAUUAUUAAUCAGCAAACUAAAAAUAAAUGCAUAAAAUAA
Molecule: long non-coding RNA, 447 nt
Organism: Pipra filicauda (Wire-tailed manakin)
Lineage: Eukaryota; Metazoa; Chordata; Aves; Passeriformes; Pipridae
Exons: 3
Source: RefSeq, a predicted model, not a curated record